Molecule: long non-coding RNA, 2225 nt
Organism: Zonotrichia albicollis (white-throated sparrow)
Lineage: Eukaryota; Metazoa; Chordata; Aves; Passeriformes; Passerellidae
Source: RefSeq, a predicted model, not a curated record
CCAGCUCUCUACAGCAGUGCACUGAAAAGUGAUGUGUGAUGUGAAGCAAGGUGAGGGGAAUCAUGUUCACUUCACCACAGACACUAAAGUUUGCCAGCUUUCUUCUUUACCUGAGUAAUGACCACCAGGAGGGGCUUCACAGCAGCUUGUUUUGUUCCUAGAUCCAGAAAAAUAUGUGCAUUUGCCUACAAGGACAGUGUGCAUUUUAAGCAUAGCCAAGAGACAGGUGAUUAAACUGACUAGAGAGUCUCUGUCCCACUCAGAAUAGGCCUCCAGGUCAGAGGUGUAUUAAUGAGAGAACGGCUGGAGGAUGAUGAGCUGAUCCUGCAGCCUCCAACAGCACUGAAUGGACUACAAGGGCUCUGUAGAAAAUAACUCCCAGCUAAUAACUGCACAAAUCAUCCUGCAGAGCCAGCUGUUACCAGGACUGCAAGCAUUCCUGUUGUUUGUUUUUGGAGGAGCCCUGUGUGCUUGUGUCAAAGCCCAGACCAUGUACAAAUUCCCCAGUGGUCACUGUGAAGAACACCAUGAUAUUUUAAAGGUAAAGGAAUCAAAUUUACAUCAGUUUCUUCCAGGACUCAUAUCCUGUGCCAGCAGAAGUGGGAGAGAUACUGUUUUGUAGAGAGCUGCUCUGAUCAGUAUUCUUGAUGUGUGUCCUAGUGGUAGGAAGUAGCAAUAAUCAUAAUAAUAUUAAAACUCCCAUAUACUACGAAGCUAAGUGUUAAAGGGGAUAAAGCUAAGCAUGGGUAGCUAGCUGGGUAGUACCAGCUACUAUUUUCAGUAGUAAAGCAUGUUAUGCAUGUUGGGCAUGUUAUACACUGACUGAUCUCUUUCAUUCUGAAAGGGAUUUCCAGGUGUAUCUUGGGUAUUUUUAGCACAAGUGGAAGAAAAACAUAAUGUAAAACAAGAAUAGAUUUUGCUAUUGUUUAUAGAGACAGUUUUGAUUUCCUAGGAGUAAACAGAGGGCAUGAGGGUAAUAAUUGACUUGAAGAAAGAAUGUGAAUUAGAAAGGGCAAUAAUCCUUGGGGCUUGCCCUGCUGCUGGAAAGCAGUGGGUUUCCUUCUGGCCAGAGCAAAGUUUUCAGUGAGAUUGGACACAUCAAAGCGGGUUACAAAGACCAGACUGCUGGUUUCUUUAAAAAACACUCUGCAGAUGUUUGAGCACACAUUAACAGAACUAUUUCUUAAAAGUCCAGCUACAACAAAUUGAGUCAAAUAACUGCAAGCAGUUUCUUUGCUUUGUGCCCUGAUCUUCCCUGCAAAUUAUUUGGGCAGAGUCCAAGUACGAGAAAUACCUGCAAAACCUAGAAAUGUAUCCUUGCAGAAACCGAUCCAACAGUGGAAAGAGGAAUUCUAAUUCAACUGGUAAAUGUAAAAGGGAUUUCUUUGUCAUACUUGCCAUCCGUACAAAUGACUGGGUUACCCAGCUACCCAAACUUUAUCUGUGUCCAUACCCCCUCAGUAAAACUCUCCAGCUCAAUUGCCCCGUGUAAUAGUCUACUCACCUAAUCAUCUCUUAUUUUUAUCCUUCCAGGUUUCCAUGUCAGUGCAUGAGUUUUUAAAUAAUUUGAUAAUUUUCAUAACGUGCUUGGACUUGAUUCUCUAACCUGUAUUUCAGGAAGCAGUUCAUCAGUGUGGGUGACUCCAUGGUAGCCUCACCUGAAAACUUUCCAGGUUUCCUAAAUUCCACUGUCUUGCCCAUGUUUAUUAUAAGUUCAUAGCAACUAUGUCCAUAUGCAGAAUGAUGAAAGGGUGAUUUAUUUUUUAUUAUGUGACUAGAAUAUUGCUGAAGAAGCAAAGAGGCUUGUGUAUUAUGAAAAGACAGAACAGGGAUGUCCGAGCAUGUGCAGUGAGGGGGGAUAAGAAAUGAAUUUUACAGCACCCUUCAGAAAGUCUAUCAUAAGGAAAACUUGUGUUUGAAACCUUCUCUUCCUCAGUGGGAAAAUAAUAUAUAUGUGAAAAUCAUGGGUUUUCUUGGCUUCUAGUAUCACCAGAGUUUUCUUGGAAGUAAAGGAACAGUCCUGCUUUCAUUAAUUCCAAAAAAGCUUUGCAUUCAAGCUAUUCACCUGGAGUGAAGGGCUACCUAAUUCAGUCUGCACACAUGGAUUAUGCAUCCUACAUGAAAGUCUUUGAUCCAUGAGAAAACCAACAUUUGUUGAUCUGUUUUGCACUGUAUCUUGCAAUGAAUGCUUUUGCAUAUAUGUAUUUUAUUGUAUCUGAUGUCUA